UGAAAAACACUCAACUAAACAAAAGAGAAUACUAAUUUUUUAAAUCAUGUCAUCACAAAAGAAAAAGAAUGAAUGUGUGGAUGAAGCCUGCCUGAAUCCCUGAAUAAAAUAAUUUUAAGGAUGAAAUUACAUGCAUGAAUUAAGAGUAGAAAAUUCUUUGCCAUUUAAUUAAACAAAUCUCUAAUUCUUCUCAUCAGGAUAAAACUGAAGGACAAUGGAUGCCUUUUGGGAAUUGGAGUUUAUCUGUUCUCUUUUUAAGGCAUAUAAUUAUUGUUCUAGACAAUCCUAAUCUACUGAUAAAGUUUAGAUGUGUACUUUAAUAAAACUGAAAAUCAAAGAAAUUUUUCAUUUCACAAAAACAUUCUUCACUUUCAAAAUAGCUUGUUAAAUAGCAAGUU
RNAcentral lists this long non-coding RNA (398 nucleotides) under Bos taurus (domestic cattle). RNAcentral's name for it is "long non-coding RNA NONBTAT024129". The record is from RNAcentral. Lineage: Eukaryota; Metazoa; Chordata; Mammalia; Artiodactyla; Bovidae.